Adelges cooleyi (spruce gall adelgid) is the source of this 1152-nucleotide long non-coding RNA. RefSeq lists it as uncharacterized. Lineage: Eukaryota; Metazoa; Arthropoda; Insecta; Hemiptera; Adelgidae. The transcript is spliced from 3 exons. The record is from RefSeq and is a predicted model, not a curated record.
UGUUAUCACUAAAUAACAAUCUUGCUGAUAAAAAAUACUAAAUUGCUUGUAAUACGAAUACUACAAGAAUUUUAAAAUGGCAGUUGAUUUUAACAACUGGUAAAAUGUUAUAAUUAAAUUUAAAACAAUUAUACCAUUGCCUUGCUAUACCGACUAUUUACCGUCUUGUGGCCAAACCUAAUUAAGGCGACGAAGUUUAUGAUGUACAGCUGCUGUCGAAAAUUCAAACAUGGAAAAAUCUUGAUACCACAAUUUCCAUUGGUGUUUGCAACACCGUGUUUUCUAUAUCUUCCCUUGGUAAUAAACUAAAGAUAUGGACUGUCAAUUGAAAUUGUCAAAGUCUUGGACUGUAUCGCGCAAACCAAGCCCGAAGCCAAUACGCAAACAGUCAAUGCCGACGUCCAACCUACCGACCAAGCCAACAGAGAUGCCGCCAAACCCAUGGACGCACGAACAGUGGCUUUAAAUUGGUUAUUUUUGCACAUUAUUCAGUCGUGUCGUUUGAUUUCUUCAAUUUGUUGACUGUGUCCAUUAGCUUUUAUAUUCAUCUAUUGUAGUUACUUUUUUAUAUAUACUUCCUGUUAAUCCUUACUCUUUCUUGUCAAUUUAUUUCUCGGCACUUUCCAAAGCCAAUCAUUUUUAAUACUGUAUGUUUUUUUAUGUUUAUCUAUUAUGUAAUGUAUUUUGUUAUUUCAAUCACCAACAACGUCGGCCGCCAAACACUAGGCCCUCUGGCCAGUCUCAACCGUCGGGUACGAUCAAUGGUUUCGAAUGCGUGCAAGACCCUCAAAGACAAUCUGCUGUCCGGAAUGCAUGAAGGCCUAGGCAGUACAGUCCCAUUCGAAGCCACAGACGUCAAUGCGGCCGGCCGAGCAACAGGAACGCGGUGGCCCGCUUCCGCCAAACCACUACCGCCAUCGUGGACGGCGAGUAUGAAGCCAGGUUAACGGCUAUCGCUAUGAGCUAGAGAAGAAGGCCCGGACACGUCCAACGAUAAAGGAUUUCACUAUUCGGGGUUUUUACAUACCCUUGUGGCUUGUUGUUCUUGUUGAUUAUUUUGUAUAAUUAUUGUACUUGGCAUUUUUCCUAUUUGUUAAUUGUUUUUAAAUCGUUUGUUACCAUGUUAUUCUGUGUAAAUAAAAAAAAAAAAUU